Molecule: ribosomal RNA, 629 nt
Filed under: uncultured bacterium
Lineage: Bacteria
Description: bacterial SSU rRNA
Rfam family: Bacterial small subunit ribosomal RNA (bases 1-540)
Source: RNAcentral
CCUACGGGAGGCAGCAGUGGGGAAUAUUGGACAAUGGGCGCAAGCCUGAUCCAGCAAUGCCGCGUGAGUGAUGAAGGCCUUCGGGUUGUAAAGCUCUGUCGGGAGGGACGAAAAAGCAGGGGUAAUGGCCUGUAUUGACGGUACCUCCAAAGGAAGCACCGGCUAACUCUGUGCCAGCAGCCGCGGUAAUACAGAGGGUGCAAGCGUUGUUCGGAAUUACUGGGCGUAAAGCGCGUGUAGGCGGCUUCGUUAGUCGGAUGUGAAAGCCCUCGGCUCAACCGAGGAAGUGCAUCCGAUACUGCGAUGCUUGAGUGUUGGAGGGGGUGGCGGAAUUCCCGGUGUAGAGGUGAAAUUCGUAGAUAUCGGGAGGAACACCUGUGGCGAAGGCGGCCACCUGGACAACAACUGACGCUGAGACGCGAAAGCGUGGGUAGCAAACAGGAUUAGAUACCCUGGUAGUCCACGCUGUAAACGAUGAGUGCUAGACGUCACGGGUAUUGACCCCUGUGGUGUCGAAGUUAACACGUUAAGCACUCCGCCGUCGGGAGGUACGGUCGCGAGAAGUUAAAACUUAAAUUAGAAGUUAGUACGGCGUGAGACGUGCCGACGGACGACGACGAGGGAGGAGG